AUUGAACGCUGGCGGCAUGCUUUACACAUGCAAGUCGAACGGUAACAGGCCGCAAGGUGCUGACGAGUGGCGAACGGGGGAGUAAUGCAUCGGAACGUGCCCAGUCGUGGGGGAUAACGCAGCGAAAGCUGUGCUAAUACCGCAUACGAUCUAUGGAUGAAAGCGGGGGACCGUAAGGCCUCGCGCGAUUGGAGCGGCCGAUGUCAGAUUAGGUAGUUGGUGGGGUAAAGGCUCACCAAGCCGACGAUCUGUAGCUGGUAUGAGAGGACGAAGAGCCACACUGGGAAUGAGACACGGCCCAGACUCCUACGGGAGGCAGCAGUGGGGAAUUUUGGACAAUGGGCGCAAGCCUGAUCCAGCAAUGCCGCGUGCAGGAAGAAGGCCUUCGGGUUGUAAACUGCUUUUGUACGGAACGAAAAGGUUUGGGUUAAUACCCUGGGCCGAUGACGGUACCGUAAGAAUAAGCACCGGCUAACUACGUGCCAGCAGCCGCAGUAA
RNAcentral lists this ribosomal RNA (498 nucleotides) under uncultured bacterium. RNAcentral describes it as "partial 16S ribosomal RNA". It matches the Rfam family "Bacterial small subunit ribosomal RNA", at positions 29 to 523 of the family's 1533-position model. The record is from RNAcentral.